UGGGGAAUAUUGGACAAUGGGCGAAAGCCUGAUCCAGCAAUGCCGCGUGUGUGAAGAAGGUCUUCGGAUUGUAAAGCACUUUCGACGGGGACGAUGAUGACGGUACCCGUAGAAGAAGCCCCGGCUAACUUCGUGCCAGCAGCCGCGGUAAUACGAAGGGGGCUAGCGUUGCUCGGAAUGACUGGGCGUAAAGGGCGCGUAGGCGGCCCGGUAAGUCAAAGGUGAAAUCCCUCGGCUCAACUGAGGAACUGCCUUUGAAACUGUCGGGCUUGAGGCCGGGAGGGGGUAGCGGAAUUCCCAGUGUAGCGGUGAAAUGCGUAGAUAUUGGGAGGAACACCGGUGGCGAAGGCGGCUACCUGGACCGGUUCUGACGCUGAUGCGCGAAAGCGUGGGGAGCAAA
Molecule: ribosomal RNA, 400 nt
Filed under: uncultured bacterium
Lineage: Bacteria
Description: bacterial SSU rRNA
Rfam family: Bacterial small subunit ribosomal RNA
Source: RNAcentral